This 468-nucleotide ribosomal RNA is filed under the name uncultured bacterium. Its description in RNAcentral is "partial 16S ribosomal RNA". It matches the Rfam family "Bacterial small subunit ribosomal RNA", at positions 28 to 507 of the family's 1533-position model. The record is from RNAcentral.
GACGAACGCUGGCGGCGUGCUUAACACAUGCAAGUCGAACGGAAAGGCCCUGCUUUUGUGGGGUGCUCGAGUGGCGAAAGGGUGAGUAACACGUGAGUAACAUGCCCUUGACUUUGGGAUAACUUCAGGAAACUGGGGCUAAUACCGGAUAGGAGCUCCUGAUGCAUGGUGGGGGUUGGAAAGUGUCGGCGGUUGGGGAUGGACUCGCGGCUUAUCAGCGUGUUGGUGGGGUAGUGGCUUACCAAGGCUUUGACGGGUAGCCGGCCUGAGAGGGUGACCGGCCACAUUGGGACUGAGGUACGGCCCAUACUCCUACUGGAGGCAGCAGUGGGGAAUAUUGCACAAUGGGCGGAAGCCUGAUGCAGCAACGCCGCGUGCGGGAUGACUGCCUUCGGGUUGUAAACCGCUUUCGCCUGUGACGAAGCGUGAGUGACGGUAAUGGGUAAAGAAGCACCGGCUAACUACGUG